GAUGAACGCUGGCGGCGUGCCUAAUACAUGCAAGUCGAGCGAACAGAUGAGGAGCUUGCUCCUCUGACGUUAGCGGCGGACGGGUGAGUAACACGUAGAUAACCUACCUAUAAGACUGGGAUAACUUCGGGAAACCGGAGCUAAUACCGGAUAAUAUAUUGAACCGCAUGGUUCAAUAGUGAAAGACGGUUUUGCUGUCACUUAUAGAUGGAUCCGCGCCGCAUUAGCUAGUUGGUAAGGUAACGGCUUACCAAGGCAACGAUGCGUAGCCGACCUGAGAGGGUGAUCGGCCACACUGGAACUGAGACACGGUCCAGACUCCUACGGGAGGCAGCAGUAGGGAAUCUUCCGCAAUGGGCGAAAGCCUGACGGAGCAACGCCGCGUGAGUGAUGAAGGUCUUCGGAUCGUAAAACUCUGUUAUUAGGGAAGAACAAAUGUGUAAGUAACUAUGCACGUCUUGACGGUACCUAAUCAGAAAGCCACGGCUAACUACGUG
This 497-nucleotide ribosomal RNA is filed under the name uncultured bacterium. Its description in RNAcentral is "partial 16S ribosomal RNA". It matches the Rfam family "Bacterial small subunit ribosomal RNA", at positions 28 to 507 of the family's 1533-position model. The record is from RNAcentral.